GCCGAGGUGGCACAACCUGGUACUGCGCAGGAUUGCUAAUCCUGUUUCCUUACGGAUUUGGGGGUUCAAAUCCUCCCCUCGGCG
RNAcentral lists this transfer RNA (84 nucleotides) under Candidatus Woesearchaeota archaeon. Its description in RNAcentral is "tRNA-Ser". It matches the Rfam family "tRNA". Rfam says of the family: Transfer RNA (tRNA) molecules are approximately 80 nucleotides in length. Their secondary structure includes four short double-helical elements and three loops (D, anti-codon, and T loops). Lineage: Archaea; Nanobdellati; Candidatus Woesearchaeota. The record is from RNAcentral.